Molecule: ribosomal RNA, 135 nt
Filed under: Rhizobiaceae bacterium
Lineage: Bacteria; Pseudomonadati; Pseudomonadota; Alphaproteobacteria; Hyphomicrobiales; Rhizobiaceae
Description: partial 16S ribosomal RNA
Rfam family: Bacterial small subunit ribosomal RNA
Source: RNAcentral
UCAUACAACUUGAGAGUUUGAUCCUGGCUCAGGACGAACGCUGGCGGCAGGCUUAACACAUGCAAGUCGAACGCACCUUCGGGUGAGUGGCAGACGGGUGAGUAACGCGUGGGAAUCUACCUUUUGGUACGGAAU